This is a non-coding RNA of Zonotrichia albicollis (white-throated sparrow), 3262 nucleotides long. NCBI's taxonomy places the organism in Eukaryota, Metazoa, Chordata, Aves, Passeriformes, Passerellidae. The record is from RefSeq and is a predicted model, not a curated record.
CCGUGGAAGAAGGGAGGGGACAGGGGCUCAGGGCAGGUGUGAGCAGGUGCGACCGCUUCCACUGCGGAUGCCUUCGAUGAUCACGGCAAGGCAGAGGAAAGGGGGAGGGAGUAAGAUGCUCUGGGUAGCAAACUGAUCUCCCAGCUCCUGGCAGAUGUGCGGAGGUCAUAUUACAAACCCUCCAGGGGGGGAUGCAUGCAGAAUAGUUUGGGAACAGAUUGGUUUGUAAACAGUUCUCAAACCUGGCCGCACUUGGGGCAAACAAGGGCAUACUUGUAAAAUGCACCUUUGUGUGGAUUCUAGCAAAAGGAGGAUGCCUGGAUCUCUGAAUGGGGAAGGAAACCAUCUUGAAGAGAAGAAACUACGGGGCUAUGUUAUUCCCAUAGUCUCUGAGAAAUGCGUGGAACUCCCAGGUUUCAAAUAUACCUGAUGGUAUUUAAUUGUGGCAGAUCAAGAAAUUCUUGAGUGCUUCAGAGCAAAUGGAUGGGACAAAAUCAUCACUGUUUUGAAAGGAAAAUUAGACUGCAGGCACUCAUAGUCAGUGUGAUGCUUGUGUUUAUUUUGCUGGUUUCCAGGGUAGUGCAAGUGCUCUUUGCACUGCAGCAGUGUCUGCUGAUGUUUACUCCAUCUCUUCUUAUGGCUUACAAAGAGAUUCAGGAUUCUAUCAAAUUAAUUGCUAUUAUCUGCCCACUGAGAACAGUGAGGCUGGACGUGAGGCAUUGUCAUUCAAGGUUUAUGGACAAGAAUUCUCAUAUAUAUUGAUGGGGCUGUACAGCAGGAGGAAAUCCUUUCCCUGACAGGUUCUGGGAUGAAUUGCUUGUGCUGAUACCUGCUUCUAAAUCGGCUUCAUCUCCCUCACUUUUCCUCUGUAAAAUGCUGCUACUCCUCACAAAGAUGUAAAAAACCAGCAGAUAAUGCUCGCAGUAAGCUCUGGUGAUAAAUACCGUGUGAGUCCUAAGAAAAGCUGUUAUUUGAAGGAAGUCCAUGAUGACGGCUCUGCAGGUGCUGCCAGUGGAUUUAUGGGACAUGUGAAACUUAUGCUUUGUAUUUUUCUAGAAGGAGACUGGAGGAAUUGACAUCUAUCACAAUUCAAAAGGAUGAGAACAAGCCCACAAAAAGAAAAGAAGACUCUUCUGACUUUUAGAAAUCUUUAUAAACAUCAUUUAAUGUCAUUUUCAAAUACCUUGAAGGGAUCGUAAAACUUUGCUCUUCUCUGAUCAUUGUACCACUUAGAAGUGGAAAGGUAUGAACAGCCAUAACCCUGGCACAUUUUUAACAAUUCUCAGGACCAAAGGGGAUUGUAAGAUGGAAGCUUUGAUAACAAAAACAUAAAGAUGUCAUUGUCAACUAUCUCAAAAUAUACAUGCUUGUUGUAAAUGUCACAUAAGCCCACAGCUAAGUGAUGAAUCAGAAUUUCCUGUGUUUUCAAAGUGCUUCGUUUGAUAAAGACUUUUAACUCCUUCAUGAACAAGUUAUUUCGUGCCCCACAAUUUGCUUUCUGUCCUUUUACUGUUAAUCACUGAAACAAAAAUACCUCAUGCAACAUGAGUUAGCUGGAUAUACAGGGUAGAAUUUCAGUUAUAAUCUGCAUCAAGGAAAAAAAAUACUUGGAAAAUGUUUGGAACUAACAUGCAUAACAUUGUAAAUCAAUUUAUUAGCAAUAAUAUGAUUUUUUUCCUCUUCAUUAAAAUAAUAGAAGUGAUAAACUAAACUAAAUGUUGGAGAUAUAUGGACUAAUUUGGCCCCAGUAGAAGUCUUCAUUCAGUGAAAUACUUUAGCAUUUGAUUAGGAUUAAGUAUUUGAUUGUGUCUUGUAUCAGUUUAGAACACCCUGCUGAGAGGAAAAGAGAUGAAAAUUACACGAUUGAGAACGCCAGGUAUGUCAAGACAGAUUUUGACCCCUUGGUGGGGUCACUCGUGGAGACAGGAUGGUCGUGAUUGCAGCCAGGCCAUUUCUGGAGAGCUGGAGGUCCCAAGGUUGGGAUGCCUGAGGGUUUCUCUCUUCUGGCACUGCCAAUCCCUGCCACACAUGGCUAAUCCCUCACUGUGCCACAGGGAGAACGUCCUGCCUGGUUUUAUCUAAAGGAGGUAAAUCCCAUCGGCCAGAGAGGAGAGAGGCAGUAUUUCUGAGUUUUUAAAAUGCUCUAUCCACACUAUCUAUGAACUUUGUUAUUACUUCUUCAUGUCAGUCAUCUCUUAUACACUCACCUUUACCAAAACCAAGAGCCACCAAUCUGUUCUUCUUGUAUGGUUUGCUCACAUAAAUUUGCGUAGGUUUUUCUGCAAAGUUGUUGGAUUUUUAUUUGGGGUUAGAGAUGUUUGUACUAUUUCAGUGCCCUGCUAUUAAAUAGAAUCAUAAUAAUAAUUUUUCAGUUGAGCUGCAGGUGCAGAAUACAGGAACCAUCUUUUGCCAAAUAUUACUAAGUGCAUUAGAUAUUCAUCACUUAUUAAAAUCUGUAAUCCUAGUAAAUAAAAGACAAUUUUAAAAUUGCAGGCUGGUGGGUAUCGUAACUCAACUAUUAAAAACCUGUUUGUCAAGUUGUAAGUCAUUAAUAAUUAGUAUUACAAAUGCUAUUAUGCCUUUGAUUGGGGAGAAAUGGACUGAAGCUAGGAUUACAUUAUUCAAUUAGAUUUAAUUCCAUUUGGUAUGAGUUUUACUUUAUGUGAAGUUCAGCCUGUAAAAGGAUCAUGGUAGCAACCAUCCAAAAUGUUAAUUUGUGUAUAGAGCAAAUAGGAUGCAUAAUAACUUCAUCAUGUAUUACAGCUCUGUUGACUGACAGUGUAAGUGCUACUAGACUCACUAUGGUUAAUUAGAUUUCUUUAUGCACUGUACAGUAGCAUUACACACAAUCAUUUAUAAAUGGGUUUAUUAAAAUUUCUAUAUUCAUAUAGUGAAAGCACGUUUAAAUCUUUUCCCUCUUUUGUACAAAAAAAUGUAAAGUGCCACUAGAAAAAGUAAAAUAAAGUGAAAUUCUAAGUCACAUCAGUCUGUGAGUUAGCACAGAUCAAGUCAAAAGAACUCAGGUAUAAGUGGCCUGCUAACUGGUGAAAAGGUUACUAAAGGCCUUGUAUUUUCCAGGAUUUUAUCUUCUGCCAGCUGACUAGAAUUACAUACAUUCCCAAUUUAUAAACAUUAGUCGUAUCUAUAUGAGCAUCUGGAAGUUCAAUAUUUCUUUCCCAAUUUGUUGUAUUUUCCACCACAUUUCAUUCAAUCUGUUAGCACUGCAAUAAAUCCAUCUUUGCAUUUAUUUCCCAGUCUUUAU